Rattus norvegicus (Norway rat) is the source of this 444-nucleotide non-coding RNA. The record is from RefSeq and is a predicted model, not a curated record. Lineage: Eukaryota; Metazoa; Chordata; Mammalia; Rodentia; Muridae.
ACCACUAUCAGCCUGGGCAUGGUACGGAACACUGAGCAGACACUCACUGCCAACAGAGGAGCCAUACUCAUCAGGGAUCCUCUUUACCACUGAUUCCUUUGGGAGUUCCUCGUCAGCCUAGCAUCCCAGCUCAGAGUUGUGGAGACCACAGCUCCCGGCAGCUCUCUAGGACUCCCCAUCGGCCCUUUGUGGUUGAGGCUCGUGCUGGGUCAGAACUCCUAGGUCUCAUCUGCCUGUCAUGCAACCAGCUUAGUACACAUUGACAACAGACCCUUCUGAAGAAGCCCCUAUCGGGGCUGAUGCUGUAAGACUCCAUGAGCCAGAGGAAAACACAGGAGCAAAGCCUUCAGACCAGCCUGAAAGAUAUCUAGAGCAACCCAGUUACAUCGCCGGGGGCAGAUGUAGAACGGAUGUUACACAAAUUCAGAAUUGUAAUUUACAACA